This 360-nucleotide long non-coding RNA is filed under the name Felis catus (domestic cat). Its description in RNAcentral is "lncRNA (ENSFCAG00000046173.2)". Lineage: Eukaryota; Metazoa; Chordata; Mammalia; Carnivora; Felidae. The record is from RNAcentral.
AAAGAGAUAAUUUCCUCGGGGAAAUCCCGUUUGCUUAUCUGAAGUGAGUCAUCUUCCUUCAGUUAGUUCUAAGACAGCUUACAACCAGGCUGUCCAUUAGAGUUCAGGGUUUUCUCAAGGAGCCAACCCGUUCGGGCCGCCGAAAUAGGAAAGCAAGACUGCUGACCUCACGUGGUACAAGGCCCCCCAGACAGCUAUCUGCACAGACACCUGACAGUUUAUGAAGCUCUUAACUUGUCCACUAAAAGAUUUUGUUGUGAAGAUAUUCCUCUUGGAAAGUAUCUUGUUUGGCAAGUUCCCAUGGCCACUGGGGAUUCAACUUGAAGGGAAGCGUUAGGAAAAUAUUUUUGAUGACUCUGG